RNAcentral lists this long non-coding RNA (200 nucleotides) under Panax ginseng (ginseng). RNAcentral describes it as "long non-coding RNA (PGIN_LNC016177)". The record is from RNAcentral. Lineage: Eukaryota; Viridiplantae; Streptophyta; Magnoliopsida; Apiales; Araliaceae.
CUUUGCGUAAGGAAUUUACAUAAUGGAAUAUUAAAUCCUAGGACCAACUAAUGCCUCACGUGCACUCAAACUCAUGCACCUUCCAGAUUCAACAUAGCACUCAAACUCAUGCACCUUCCAGAACCAGGGGUCUUCAAGCCUUCUGUGUACGAUCAAACCAGCAUGCGUCAACAAAAGGAUUAGACGUUCCCUCAUGCUAC